UGGAAGACUAGUGAUUUUGUUGUUUUUAGAUAACUAAAUCGACAACAAAUCGCAGUCUACCAUA
This 64-nucleotide microRNA precursor is filed under the name Gekko japonicus. RNAcentral's name for it is "Gja-Mir-7-P2_pre stem-loop". It matches the Rfam family "mir-7 microRNA precursor family", at positions 16 to 77 of the family's 91-position model. From Rfam's summary of the family: This family represents the microRNA (miRNA) precursor mir-7. The record is from RNAcentral. Lineage: Eukaryota; Metazoa; Chordata; Lepidosauria; Squamata; Gekkonidae.